Molecule: long non-coding RNA, 2500 nt
Filed under: Podarcis lilfordi (Lilford's wall lizard)
Lineage: Eukaryota; Metazoa; Chordata; Lepidosauria; Squamata; Lacertidae
Source: RNAcentral
AUUGAUACCAAAGUCAGAAACUGAAAAGACACAACUGAAGAACUACCGUCCCAUCUCCCUUUUAAAUGUGGAUUACAAAAUAUUUGCAGAUAUUUUGGCAAGUAGAUUUAAAAAGUUUUAAAUGAAGUAAUUCAUAAGGACCAGGCCGGUUUUCUCCCAGGUAGACAUUUGUUUGCUAACACAAGGAACAUUAUUGAUAUCUUGGAACUUCUCCAAACUGACAUAAAUACAAAAGCAGUUUUAAUUUUUAUAGAUGCGGAGAAGGCCUUUGAUAACAUUUCUUGGAAAUUUAUGAUGGGAAAUUUAAAAGAGAUGGGAGUGGGACGGGGUUUUGAGAAUGGGAUUGAGGCGAUAUAUUCAGAACAGAAAGCAAAACUGAUAGUUAAUAAUGUGGUUACAGAAGAGUUCAAAAUUGAAAAAGGGACACGACAAGGUUGCCCUAUCUCCCUUUGUUAUUUAUUUCGGUCCUGGAAGUGCUAUUGAACAUGAUUAGAGGGGACCAGUUGGUGGAAGGAAUUCAGGUUGGUCAGAAACAAUAUAAACUAAAAGCUUUUGCAGAUGACCUGGUUUUGACCUUGCAGAAGCCAGAGCCUAGUACGAAAAGAGUAUUACAAUUGAUUAAUGACUUUGGUCGGGUGGCGGGAUUUAAAUUAAACAAACAGAAAACCAAGGUUUUGGGGAAAAAUUUGACUGAGACAGAGUCAGAACGGUUUCAGAAUGAGACGGAACUUAAUGUGGUUCAAAAGUAAAAUACCUAGGGGUAAACAUAACAGCAAAAAAUCUAAGUCUAUUUAAGGAUAAUUAUGAAAAAUGUUGGACAGAAAUUAAGAGAGACUUAGACAGUUGGUCAAAAUUGAAACUUUCUUUGUUAGGCCGAAUUGCUGCGAUUAAGAUGAAUGUAUUGCCAAGAAUGUUGUUUUUAUUUCAAACACUUCAGGUUUUGGACAAAAUGGAGUGCUUUCAGAAGUGGCAGAGAGACAUUUCGAAGUUUGUCUGGCAGGGCAAAAAGCCCAGAAUUAAGUUUAAGAUACUAACUGAUGCAAAACAAAGAGGGGCUUUGCCCUGCCGGACUUAAAGUUGUAUUACGAAGCCGCAGCGUUCUGCUGGCUAAAAGAUUGGCUACUUCUUGAAGACACUGAUGUGUUAGAUUUGGAGGGGUUUAACAAUGUUUUUGGAUGGCAUGCAUAUUUAUGGUAUGACAAAGUUAAAGCAAAUAAGGCCUUUAAGAACCAUAUUGUUAGAAAAUCACUGUUUAAUGUCUGGACAAAAUAUAAAGACUUGCUGGAAAAUAAAACACCAAGGUGGCUUUCACCUUUGGAAGCUAAGGCCCGAAAAAGACCCAAUAUGGAGGCCAAAUGGCCAAAAUAUUGGGAAAUACUAGAAAAGAUGGAGACAAUUGGAAAUUGCAGAGUUUGGAGAAAAUGAAAGACAAAGUGCGAGAUUGGUUACACUAUGCUCAGAUUAAAGAAGUUUUUAAAAAUGAUAAGAAACUAGGGUUCCAGGUGGAGAAAUCGAAAUUAGAAACAGAAUUGUUAGAACCAAAGAUUAAGAUACUUUCAAGGAUGUAUAACUUGCUGUUGGAAUGGAAUACACAAGAUGAAAUGGUUAAAUCGGCUAUGAUAAGGUGGGCACAGGAUAUUGGGCAUAAUAUUAUGUUUGAGGACUGGGAAAGGCUGUGGAGUAAUGGAUUGAAAUUUACUGCAUGUAAUGCUUUGAAAGAAAAUGUAAUGAAAAUGAUUUAUAGAUGGUAUAUGACCCCAGUCAAACUCGCAAAAAUUUACCACCUGUCUGAUAACAAGUGCUGGAAAUGUAAAGAGUGUGAAGGAACGUUCUUUCACCUCUGGUGGACCUGCCCUAAAGUGAAGGCGUUCUGGGAAAUGAUUUAUAAUGAAUUGAAAAAGGUAUUUAAAUAUACUUUCACUAAGAAACCAGAGGCUUUCCUUUUGGGUAUUGUCAGCCAAGGGGUGGCAAAGAAGGACCAGACAUUUUUUAUGUAUGCAACAACAGCAGCAAGGAUACUACUCGCAAAACAUUGGAAAACUCAAGAUCUACCCACACUGGAAGAAUGGCAGAUGCAACUGAUAGACUAUAUGCAACUGGCUGAAAUGACUGGCAGAAUCCGUGACCUGGGAGAAGAGAGAAUCGAGGAGGAUUGGAAGAAAUUUAAGAACUACCUACAAAAACAUUGUGAUUUGACUGAAUGCUGAAUAAGAUGCUAGACUAAAUAACUGAGCACCACUUAACUUAGAAGUUUUUAAGAAAAUAAGAAAAACUGUGAAAGUUUAACUCUUUAUGAGAACUUUAAGAUUAUGAAAUAUCGAAGAGAUAUAAGAAUUUAAAUAAGAUGAUAAAUUGCUGACAAAAUGUUAUAAUGAUGAAGGUGGGAGCGGGAGAUGUGAGGAAGUCCAAAGAAAAUGUGAAAUUAUGUUAAGACGAAUGUUAUAUUGUUUAUUACAUUUAUUCCUAUUGUAAAAUCCAAUAAAUUGCUUUAAAAAAAAAA